CAAAGAUUAAGCCAUGCAUGUCUCAGUACAAGCCAAAUUAAGGUGAAACCGCGAAAGGCUCAUUAAAUCAGUUAUGGUUCCUUAGAUCGUACCCACAUUUACUUGGAUAACUGUGGUAAUUCUAGAGCUAAUACAUGCAAACAGAGCUCCGACCGGAGACGGAAGGAGCGCUUUUAUUAGAUCAAAACCAAUCGGUGGCGGGUCUCCCGUCACCGUACACCUUGGUGACUCUGAAUAACUUAUUGCUGAUCGCACGGUCUCGCACCGGCGACGCAUCUUUCAAAUGUCUGCCUUAUCAACUGUCGAUGGUAGGUUCUGCGCCUACCAUGGUUGUAACGGGUAACGGGGAAUCAGGGUUCGAUUCCGGAGAGGGAGCCUGAGAAACGGCUACCACAUCCAAGGAAGGCAGCAGGCGCGCAAAUUACCCACUCCCGGCACGGGGAGGUAGUGACGAAAAAUAACGAUACGGGACUCAUCCGAGGCCCCGUAAUCGGAAUGAGUACACUCUAAACCCUUUAACGAGGAUCAAUUGGAGGGCAAGUCUGGUGCCAGCAGCCGCGGUAAUUCCAGCUCCAAUAGCGUAUAUUAAAGUUGUUGCGGUUAAAAAGCUCGUAGUCGAAUUUGUGUCCCGCGCCGCCGGUUCAUCGCUCGCGGUGUUAACUGGCGUGUCCGCGGGACGUCCUGCCGGUGGGCUUAGCUCCCCGUGGGCGGCCCAAUCUCAAUCCCACCGCGGUGCUCUUCACUGAGUGUCGAGGUGGGCCGGCACGUUUACUUUGAACAAAUUAGAGUGCUUAAAGCAGGCUAAAACAUCGCCUGAAUACUGUGUGCAUGGAAUAAUGGAAUAGGACCUCGGUUCUAUUUUGUUGGUUUUCGGAACCCCGAGGUAAUGAUUAAUAGGAACGGAUGGGGGCAUUCGUAUUGCGACGUUAGAG
This 932-nucleotide ribosomal RNA is filed under the name Lepanus sp. SQ4. RNAcentral describes it as "SSU rRNA". It matches the Rfam family "Eukaryotic small subunit ribosomal RNA", at positions 38 to 910 of the family's 1831-position model. The record is from RNAcentral. Lineage: Eukaryota; Metazoa; Arthropoda; Insecta; Coleoptera; Scarabaeidae.